GUCUAUAGCCAUGCCAGCCUGAACACACUCAAUUGUCUGAUCUUGGAAGCUAAGCAGGGUCAGGCUUGGUUAGUAUUUGGAUGAGAGAAAUAUUAUGUGAGCCA
Molecule: ribosomal RNA, 104 nt
Filed under: Prolemur simus (greater bamboo lemur)
Lineage: Eukaryota; Metazoa; Chordata; Mammalia; Primates; Lemuridae
Source: RNAcentral